GUGGGGAAUUUUGGACAAUGGGCGCAAGCCUGAUCCAGCAAUGCCGCGUGCAGGAAGAAGGCCUUCGGGUUGUAAACUGCUUUUGUACGGAACGAAACGGUCCUGGUUAAUACCCGGGGCUAAUGACGGUACCGUAAGAAUAAGCACCGGCUAACUACGUGCCAGCAGCCGCGGUAAUACGUAGGGUGCAAGCGUUAAUCGGAAUUACUGGGCGUAAAGCGUGCGCAGGCGGUUUUGUAAGAUCGAUGUGAAAUCCCCGGGCUCAACCUGGGAACUGCAUUGGUGACUGCAAGGCUGGAGUGCGGCAGAGGGGGAUGGAAUUCCGCGUGUAGCAGUGAAAUGCGUAGAUAUGCGGAGGAACACCGAUGGCGAAGGCAAUCCCCUGGGCCUGCACUGACGCUCAUGCACGAAAGCGUGGGGAGCAAACAGGAUUAGAAACCCGUGUAGUCC
Molecule: ribosomal RNA, 450 nt
Filed under: uncultured bacterium
Lineage: Bacteria
Description: partial 16S ribosomal RNA
Rfam family: Bacterial small subunit ribosomal RNA
Source: RNAcentral